Molecule: unclassified non-coding RNA, 507 nt
Filed under: Aplysia californica (California sea hare)
Lineage: Eukaryota; Metazoa; Mollusca; Gastropoda; Aplysiida; Aplysiidae
Description: uncharacterized LOC101849086, transcript variant X3
Source: RNAcentral
AGAUUUCGGCUCCGUCUGCAAGCCGUUGAUCGAUCAGGGAAAGGAAGUCGAAGUGGAGAAGAUUCUGGCUUCAAGUACUACGGCACUGUCGGGGGAGUGUGUGCGGCCGUGGUUGCUGUGAUGGCUACUGCCAUUGGUGUCUACUUUGUCAGACAGUACAGAAUGAGACAACAGAAGCAGAGUCAGGCCAACGCUGAAACCAUCGUUCCUCUUGGUGCUAGAAGCUAUAUAAAUGGCUCCUUCUCUGAACCACCAUCGUUCGCAUUGUCUGUGACAUCACCAGCGUCUGUCACCCCUCAGCCAGGAACAAAGACCGGCCACUUGUAAAGGCAAGACACAGCGGACAAACAGAGUGGUGUUCAAUUUGACCCUCAAAAGUUACAUCAGUGAUUUUAAAAAAUAAUAAUAAUAUGUAUUACUGAAAAUUAACUUUUUCCAUCUUCAAAAAGAAGUCUCAAAUUUGGGGAGAUACCCGUUCGACUGAGUUUGUAAUGGCCAGGUUUGAGA